Ictalurus punctatus (channel catfish) is the source of this 2271-nucleotide long non-coding RNA. RefSeq lists it as uncharacterized. NCBI's taxonomy places the organism in Eukaryota, Metazoa, Chordata, Actinopteri, Siluriformes, Ictaluridae. The record is from RefSeq and is a predicted model, not a curated record. The transcript is spliced from 2 exons.
GAUAUGUCCUCAAUCCUUUUGCAGCUGCAUCUGCUCCCUCCAACCUCAAGAGGCCAGAAAAAAAAUAUCCAAGAUCAGUUCAGCUCAAGCAACCAGCCAUCUUGUGAGCUACCUUAAGGAAGGAGCCAGUGUGACUACCUUCAUUGAGAGUGCUGACACAAGACAACCAUUCCUCCUCUGUAUCAGUGAGCGAAAGAAGGAUAUCCCAAAGUUCUACAUUAUUAUAGACCCAAAACUGAUCCCAUGUAAGGCGCACACGUCAGUGGCAGCUUUUGAUGAACUGUUCAAAGUUCACUAUGUCUUCAGUUUCUCAUAUGAUGAAGCUCUUUGAGAUUUCUACACAUUUAUCCAAACCAACAUCUACAACAUCGAUGUCGGAAGAGCAAAGCAGAGCCCGCAUGUUAAAGAACUUCGAGCACGAUUGCUGCAGCGAGAUUAACUGCCUUGAAGAUGUUCACGUGUUUUGUAUGUAAAGCACACCUCAGAACUUGUUUGGCUCUUCAUCAACAUUUAAAAUUUCAACAUGGUUUAUAUCCUAGCAAAAAGUUACAUUUAAAAUGUGGAGAGCCAAGUCACCUGUUAUCAUUUCCAAAACCAUGCACUGUUCUCGCAGCAAAAGCACACUUUACAGAUUCUACUCUAUUACAACGAUUUUGAAAUUGCUAACCCUCUAGGUUCCAAGAGGGGGAUCCACAAACUUGGUUGUAUCUAUUUUACUCUAAAAAAAAAAAAAAAAAAAAUCUUCCAUCCAAGUGUAACUCUGUACUGAUUAAUGUACAUCUUGCAGCUCUAUUCUACAUGGAAGAUCUUAAGACAUACGGUUUUGAUGUGAUACUAAAGCCCCUUAUUGAUGACCUGAAAAUCUUAGAAGCCAAAGGCAUACAGCUUCCUUGUUUUGAACCACCAUGGUUUGGCUCAGUAAUUCAAGUAACAGGAGAUAAUUUGGCUUUAAAUGGCUUACUGGGAUUUGUGUAAUAUUUCAGUGCAACUAAUUUCUGUAGGCUUUGUUUAAUUAGUAAGGAAGAAGUUCAAUCUAUAUUUUCUGAAGAUCAUUCUGGCUUAAUUUUCCGUUCCAAAGAGGUUCAUACUGAACAUUGUAAGGCACUAAAUGAAAAUCCUGAACUGCGGUCAAUAUAUGAUGUCAAAAAGUCAUGUGUGCUCAAUUCAUUACAGUAUUUCCAUUAUACUGAUAACUAUGCUGUUGACAUCAUGCAUGAUCUGCUAGAGGGUGUGGUACAGUAUGAAAUUAAACUGGUUUUUGAGUACCUUGUUAAACAGGAUGCAGAGCUUUAAUUAUGGUUACACAAACCGUAAAAACAAACCAAGUGGGUUAAAAAUGGAUGAUAAGGGCAAACACCUGGGUUUGAAUGCCAUACAGUCAUGGUGUCUUCUGCACAACACUCCACUGAUAUUUGGUGGUCAUUGAAAGGAAUAACAAUCACUGGAACUUUCUCCUACUUUUGAUACAGAUUGUCAAUAUAGUGUUCUCCUACACCAUAACUGAUGGGAUGAUAUGUUACUUAAAACAUCUGAUCUGUGAUCACCAUACUCUAUUCAAAGAAUUGUUUCCUGACAAGACGUCGAUUCCCAAGCACCACUUGAUCUGAGAUGCAUAAAAAAAUUGGCCCUCUUAUCCAUAUGUGGUGAAUGCGAUUUGAAGCUAAGCACCAUAUUUUCAAAAGAUGUGGCAAAAAAUUUCAAGAAUCUCAUUAAAUCAUUAGUAAAGCAACAUCAACGUCAAUUGACAUUUAACUAUUAAAAUUAUUGUUUUAGAAGGUUUGAAUUUGGUCCUACAUCAAAAACCAUCUGUAACUUGCAAGGUGGGGAAGAACUCAGUCAGACAUUAUAUUUAGAAGCCUGUUUGAGUGUUACAAGUACAAAGUGGGUCAGACAUUAUGGUACUGAGUAUCAGGUUGGUGUGUUCAUAUGCACUGGAUGUACCUAUGAUCUCCCUGUGUUCAAAAAGAUCUGUGAGAUAAUAAUAUAUGAAGAGAGUGCUUUCAUUAUUUCCUGCAAUGUAAAAAUGAUGUACUAUGAUGACCACUUCAAUGCAUACUGUAUAGAAGAUAACCAAAUGGAUGAGUUUUCUGUCAUCUCUGUGAAUGAACUGACACACUUUAGGCUAUUUGACCAGCAGUGCUCUAAUGAGAAUAAUCAAAGAGAGUACAUAGUGCCCAAUUGUUAUAUUUAGAAAGACUUGACCUGAGGGGUCAGUAAUGUUAACGCCCUUGAAAAAAGAAAACUAUUAAAGCAACCAACUUGUUUUUUUUC